GCCCAGGGAAAGGUUCAGGACGAGUGUGGCGGCAACUGGUGUGUCAGUGGUGCAGUGAGCGGGCCGAGCCGAGAGGAAGCGAGAGCUCCCGAGUUUGCAAAGAGCUGCUUUGUGUUUGAACACCGUUAUGGCCACCCAGGUAAUGGGGCAGUCUUCUGGAGGAGGAGGUCUGUUCACCGGCAGUGGCACCAUGGGCAUGGCCUUGCCUAACGACAUGUAUGACUUGCCUGAUCUCACCAGAGCUGAACUGGCUGCGCCUCAGCUCAUCAUGUUGGCAAAUGUGGCCUUAACUGGGGAAGUAAACGGCGGCUGCUGUGAUUACCUGGUUGGCGAAGAAAGACAGAUGGCAGAAUUGAUGCCUGUUGGGGAUAACGACUUUUCAGAUAGUGAUGGAGAAGGACUUGAGGAGUCUCCUGGGGUAAAAGGCGAGCCCAGUGGGCUGGAAAACAUGGAACUGGAGAGGUUUGGAACUCAGUGUUGUGCAACCGCAGCCUGUGUUUGAGGUGUCAGCUGCCUCAGAACCGUACAGCUCAAAUAAAGAUCUUCCUCGGGAAACACCUGUAGCAGAGGACAAAUGCAAGAACUUGAAGACCAAGCCCUUUCGCUGUAAACCGUGCCAGUAUGAAGCAGAAUCUGAAGAACAGUUUGUGCAUCACAUCCGAGUUCAUAGUGCCAAGAAAUUUUUUGUGGAGGAAAGUGCAGAGAAGCAAGCCAAAGCCAGGGAAUGUGGCUCUUCCACUGGGGAAGAGGGAGAUUUCUCUAAGGGCCCCAUUCGCUGUGACAGCUGCGGCUACAAUACCAAUCGCUAUGAUCACUAUACUGCUCACCUGAAACACCACACCCGAGCCGGGGACAAUGAGCGAGUCUACAAGGGCAUCAUUUGCACGUACACCACAGUAAGCGAAUAUCACUGGAGGAAACACUUGAGAAACCAUUUUCCAAGGAAAGUAUACACAUGUGGAAAAUGCAACUAUUUUUCAGACAGAAAAAACAAUUAUGUUCAGCAUGUUCGAACUCAUACAGGAGAACGUCCGUAUAAAUGUGAGCUUUGUCCUUAUUCAAGUUCUCAGAAAACUCAUCUAACCAGACAUAUGCGUACUCAUUCAGGUGAGAAGCCAUUUAAGUGUGACCAGUGCAGUUAUGUGGCCUCUAAUCAACAUGAAGUAACCCGUCACACAAGACAGGUUCACAAUGGGCCUAAACCUCUUCACUGCCCACACUGUGACUACAAAACAGCAGAUAGAAGUAACUUCAAAAAACACGUGGAGCUACAUGUUAAUCCACGGCAGUUCAACUGCCCUGUAUGCGACCGCGCAGCUUCCAAGAAGUGUAAUCUGCAGUAUCAUUUCAAAUCUAAGCAUCCUACUUGUCCUAAUAAGACCAUGGAUGUCUCAAAAGUGAAGCUAAAGAAAACCAAAAAGCGAGAGGCUGACUUGCCUGAUAACAAAAUCACCAAUGAGAAAACAGAAACAGAGCAGACAAAAAUGAAGGGGGAUGUGACUGGGAAGAAAAACGAGAGGUCUGUAAAAGUGGAGAAAAAAGAUAAUGUUUCAAAAGAGAAAAAGCCUUGUAGUAAUGCCUCAAGCCAAGUGACUACCAGAACUCGCAAAUCGGCACUGGAAGCUGAAAAGAUGGAUGUGCACCCAGGAAAUAAUGAGAAAAAAGCUGUAAAAGCAAGAAAAGCAAAAGGAAGACAGAAGCUGAAGCCCGUUCCUUACAAGAACCUGUGAAUGAUGAGGAACCUGUGACAAAAAAGAAAAAGAAGGCAGAAAGCAAAUCCAGAAAUAGUCAGCAAGUGCCGAAGGGUGACAGCAAAGUACAAGAGAAUAAAAAGCAAAGUAGUUGCAUGAAAAACAGUGCAAAGAAGAAAACUCUGAGAAGUAAAUCAUGUAAAAAAAGCGGCAAGCCUGCUCAGAGGAGGCCCACUCAGAUAGAGCCUCCUCCUCCCAUGGAGUCUGCUGAGGGGGGCCCUGUUCAGACGGAGCCUCCUCCUGCUGCCCGCCCCCCACCUCCUCCUCCUCCCCUUGCCCCCGAGCAGCAUGCUGAGGUCGAGGUUGUUCAGACGGAGCGGCCGCCUCCUCCUCCCCCUCCCCCCCAUCUCCUCCUCCACCUCUUCCCCCCGGGGGGGGCAUGCUGAGGUCAAGGUUGUUCAGAAGGGGCCUGUUCAUGCGGAGCCUCCUCCUCCUGUGGAGCCAGAUAAUGGCAAGGAAAAGUCCAACAUGCAGAGUGAAAUGGUGCAGAAGGAGCAAGUCCUUAUUGAAGUUGGCUUAGUGCCUGUUAAAGACAGGCAGCUUCUAAAGGAAAGUGCCGGUGCACAGGAUCUCUUACCACCAUCACCACCUCUGCCAAAGGAAGACUUAAAAGAGGAAGAGUCAGAAGACCAAAAAUUAGUCCCUGCAGGCGAAGGACAUAAAGAAGCUCCUCUUCAAAGAGUGGAAGCAGAAGAAGCAGAUAAGAGUCUAGCUGGUCUUGCUGCUGUUACCAAGGCAUCUGCCAGUAUUUCAUCCUCUGAACAAAACUUGAAUAUGCCAGAGGGUGAAACUUCAGAUGGUAAACAUCAGGCUGACGCUAUGCUUUGUGAAAUGAAGAUGGACGCUGAUGAGAAGAAAACAGAGAAUCCCCCCGGCAGAGACUCGGCGGUUGAAGAACCAACUUCACCACCACUUCUUCCUCUACCGCUAGAAAAAUGUGAAGCAGUGUCCACAGCUACUGUGGCAUCACCUCCUGUCACCGUGACAGUAAAUGAGUCUCAGGAAAUGGAUGAAGACGAAGGCAUCCACAGUCAUGAUGGAAGUGACCUAAGUGACAACAUGUCAGAGGAUAGUGAUGACUCUGGAUUGAAUGGGGCUCGGCCAGUUCCACAAGAGACUAGUAGAAAAAAUGGAAAGGAAGCCUUGGCAGUCAAAGUGGCCGAGGGAGAUUUUGUUUGUAUCUUCUGUGAUCGUUCUUUUAGAAAGGAAGAAGAUUACAGCAAACACCUCAAUCGCCAUUUGGUUAAUGUACACUUUCUUGAAGAGGCAGCUCAAGGGCAGAAGUAAAUAAACUUUGGGCAAGGCUUCAGUUCUUAGUUUGUAAGGUCUGUGACAUUUUGUAUUCAUUUGUAGUAAUGGACAACCUUUUGUUUUUAAAAUUGCUUUAAUUAGUAUCCAAUCUUGAUUUUUAAGUGGCAUUCUUUUCCUUAGGAAUCCGUGUACCUAAUGAUGUACAAAUUUUAGCAAAUCCAAGGGAGUUAGUGUAAUAAACCAGCAGACAUCUAAAUCUAUUAGCUUUUGCUUUUAAUUGAACCCAGAAGGCCAAGGUGGUAUUAGAGCAUUCUAUCGAUUUGUUCAGCUAUAAUUUGUGAGUUUUUUCCUCAUGUCUAUCUUCCUGUUUCACGUUAGUUUAUUCUUAGUUCCUUGUUUAGCUCUGUAAAAAUUAGCAUACUUAAAUAGCAAAUUACUUGAAGAAUUUGCCUGCUUUAUGUAAAGUUAGCACUUUAAAAUUGUUUUAGAGAUGAGAAGAGACAUUUAAAUUGAAGAGAAAUUCUCCCAACAAUGGAUGUUAUAUCAGUCCAGGUAUUUACUUCCUGAGUUUUGAUCAGUAUAUGUGUUUUGUGUAUGUCAAUCGUCAUAAAAAGUGGUUUUGGUGGGGGUUUUUUUUCGGUGCUUUAAUGCCUUAAGAUGUUGCACAUUGUUGUUUUUAACCUAUGCAGUUAAAUUAUUUCUAGAAAUAGCUUUUGUGUUGUAACACUUUAUAUCUAUAUAUGCAUGUUUAUUUUGACCUCUUUGGAGGGAUGCUUAAGUCUUAUUUGCAAAAGAGCAGUUUUCUUUUCCCCUGCUGCAAUUGUCUUUUUUGCAGAAUAUUAGUCUGUUCAAAUUUGUGAGCAAAUGAAAGAUGCCGGUUCAGUCCAUUGAUUUUGAUUUUAACAUCUUAUAUCUAUGCCAGAAUCUGUAUUUCAUAUAAGUUAUUUAUUUUAAAUUGAUGUGGUGAAUCACAGCUCUCAGUUUGAACUUUACAAUAAAUAAACCACUAGGCUCCAAAAAAAAUAAAAAAUAAAAAUAAACUCAAAAUGGAUUAAAGGCCUAAAUGUAAGACCAGAUACCAUAACAC
Aethalodelphis obliquidens (Pacific white-sided dolphin) is the source of this 4089-nucleotide RNA transcript. It is a transcript of the gene named RE1-silencing transcription factor pseudogene, with no coding region annotated. The transcript has a single exon. Lineage: Eukaryota; Metazoa; Chordata; Mammalia; Artiodactyla; Delphinidae. The record is from RefSeq and is a predicted model, not a curated record.